RNAcentral lists this long non-coding RNA (1448 nucleotides) under Anas zonorhyncha (Eastern spot-billed duck). RNAcentral describes it as "lncRNA (ENSAZOG00000011071.1)". Lineage: Eukaryota; Metazoa; Chordata; Aves; Anseriformes; Anatidae. The record is from RNAcentral.
CCUUGCCUUCACCCGGAGGACGGGGUGGGAGGAGGACGGGGGGUGCGCCCCCAGUUUGGUGUUUCCCAAAUUGGGAUGGGGCUGGGGGCUACUCCUGUGCUCCUCGAGCAAGCCGUCGGUGCUGCAAAGGGGUUUUGGGACUGGGGGGCUGGUGGUGGGGUCGGGGGGCUGCCUCGCUGCCCGUGGAGGUCCUGGGGACCCUCUGCCACCCCGGGGCACGGGGUAAAUGGAGGGGGUGACGCGGUUGGGGCCGUCCCCACGAGGUGUAAAGGUGCCAGCCGAGGGUGGCGGGCGCUUCAAAGUCAUCCUGCCGCGGUGCCCGGCGGUGGCACGCGCAGAGGACGCGGGUGCUGGUGUCCCCCCCACGGUGUCACCGGGUUGGACGGGUGCCACCAGCCCCCACGUACCCACCGGNNNNNNNNNNGGUCUUCGACAUCACCAAGCACCAGACGUACGACGUGGUGGACCGCUGGCUGAAGGAGCUGUACGACCACGCCGAGCCCAGCAUCGUGGUGAUGCUGGUGGGGAACAAAACCGACCUGGCGCAGGCUCGGGAGGUGCCCACGGAGGAGGCGAAAAUGUUCGCAGAGAACAACGGGCUGCUCUUCUUGGAGACCUCGGCGCUGGACUCCACCAACGUCGAGCAGGCUUUCGAGACCAUCCUGAAGGAAAUCUUCCAGAAGGUGCAGAAGCAGAAGCAGAGGAGCAGCCAAAGCAGCACGGUGUCGCUCGGCAGCGAGAACCCGGAGAGCUCGGCACCGGCGCAGGGGGAGAAGCGCCCGUGCUGCGUGGCCAUCUGAGCCCCCCCCCCGGGCAGCUCGGGGGGGUCCGGGACGUGCCAAGGGGCUGGGGCUGGGGCUGGUCCCUUUGGGCCACCAACCCCCUGCUGCGGCGUGGUGGGGAGCCUGGAAAGCGGGUAAAUUCUGCCAGAAAUGGUGAAAAGCCUCAGUGCCGGCAGCUCCGCGCCAUCCGCCUCGUUUUUAUGGGGUCCUGAGCAAUUCACACCAGCACCCGAGCUGCCCCGGAUCCCGAUCCCGAUCCCAAUCCCUCCAGCCCCGCCGUGCAGAGGACUGAGACACCCAAGGGUGCUGCUGCUGCUUCUCGCCGGGGCCGUGCCACCCACGGGAGCUGCCGCGAUCCUGCUGUGGGGUCUGCGCCACGCGCUGGGGACCUGCCUGUCCCCACAGCUCCGCGUCCCCAGUGGGGACAGCUUCGGGGUCACCGCAUCCCAAAAUGUGGUGCUGCCACCAUUAAAGGACUUGCGAAAGGCGGCUCCGCUCUGCUGGAAUCCCUCAGCCCUCCUGGCCUCGGCCCUGCGCCCCCCACCCCAUACCCAUGGGGUGCGUCCCCAUGGGGGUCCCUGCGCCCCUUCCCUUGUCCCGUUGCCCCGAUGGCCCCCAGGGGGAUGCCCGGCAGCUGAUCGGCCCCAAAAAGGGGCCUCUGCCGAA